RNAcentral lists this ribosomal RNA (649 nucleotides) under Escherichia coli. Its description in RNAcentral is "partial 23S ribosomal RNA". It matches the Rfam family "Bacterial large subunit ribosomal RNA", at positions 602 to 1251 of the family's 2925-position model. Lineage: Bacteria; Pseudomonadati; Pseudomonadota; Gammaproteobacteria; Enterobacterales; Enterobacteriaceae. The record is from RNAcentral.
UACCUUUUGUAUAAUGGGUCAGCGACUUAUAUUCUGUAGCAAGGUUAACCGAAUAGGGGAGCCGAUGGGAAACCGAGUCUUAACUGGGCGUUAAGUUGCAGGGUAUAGACCCGAAACCCGGUGAUCUAGCCAUGGGCAGGUUGAAGGUUGGGUAACACUAACUGGAGGACCGAACCGACUAAUGUUGAAAAAUUAGCGGAUGACUUGUGGCUGGGGGUGAAAGGCCAAUCAAACCGGGAGAUAGCUGGUUCUCCCCGAAAGCUAUUUAGGUAGCGCCUCGUGAAUUCAUCUCCGGGGGUAGAGCACUGUUUCGGCAAGGGGGUCAUCCCGACUUACCAACCCGAUGCAAACUGCGAAUACCGGAGAAUGUUAUCACGGGAGACACACGGCGGGUGCUAACGUCCGUCGUGAAGAGGGAAACAACCCAGACCGCCAGCUAAGGUCCCAAAGUCAUGGUUAAGUGGGAAACGAUGUGGGAAGGCCCAGACAGCCAGGAUGUUGGCUUAGAAGCAGCCAUCAUUUAAAGAAAGCGUAAUAGCUCACUGGUCGAGUCGGCCUGCGCGGAAGAUGUAACGGGGCUAAACCAUGCACCGAAGCUGCGGCAGCGACGCUUAUGCGUUGUUGGGUAGGGGAGCGUUCUGUAAGCCUG